Molecule: ribosomal RNA, 406 nt
Filed under: uncultured bacterium
Lineage: Bacteria
Description: partial 16S ribosomal RNA
Rfam family: Bacterial small subunit ribosomal RNA
Source: RNAcentral
AUUGAACGCUAGCGGCAGGCCUAACACAUGCAAGUCGAACGAGUGGCGGACGGGUGAGUAAUGUAUGGGAAAGUGCCUGGUGGCGGGGGAUAACUACUCGAAACGGUAGCUAAUACCGCAUACAAUCAGAUGUGCCCAGAUGGGAUUAGCUAGUUGGGGGGGUAACGGCUCACCAAGGCAACGAUCCGUAUCUGGUUUGAGAGGAUGACCAGACACACUGGAACUGAGACACGGCCCAGACUCCUACGGGAGGCAGCAGUGGGGAAUAUUGCACAAUGGGCGCAAGCCUGAUGCAGCCAUGCCGCGUGUAUGAUGAAGGCCUUCGGGUUGUAAAGUACGUUCAGCGGGGAGGCGGUACCCGCAGAAGAAGCACCGGCUAACUCCGUGCCAGCAGCCGCGGUAAUAC